RNAcentral lists this ribosomal RNA (468 nucleotides) under uncultured bacterium. Its description in RNAcentral is "partial 16S ribosomal RNA". It matches the Rfam family "Bacterial small subunit ribosomal RNA", at positions 28 to 507 of the family's 1533-position model. The record is from RNAcentral.
GACGAACGCUGGCGGCGUGCCUAACACAUGCAAGUCGAACGGACAGGCCCUGCUUUUGUGCGGUGGUCGAGUGGCGAACGGGUGAGUAACACGUGAGUAACCUGUCCCUGACUGAGGGAUAACUUCAGGAAACUGGGGCUCUUAUCGGAUAGGAUCUCUUGCCGCAUGGUGGGCGUUGGUAAGAUUCGGCGGUUGGGGAUGGUCUCGCGGCUUCUCAGCUUGUUGGUGGGGUAGGGGCUUACCAAGGCUUUGACGGGUAGCCGGCCUGAGAGGGGAGCCGGCCACAAUACGACUGCGAUACGGCCCAGACGCGAAUGGGACGCAGCGGUGGAGAGUAUUACACAGCGGGCGGGAGCCAGAUACGACGACGCCGCGAGCGGGAUAACGGGCUUCGAGUUGUAAACCAAUUUCGUAUGUGCCGAGGCGUGAGUGACGGUACUGGGUAAAGAAGCCCCGGCUAACUACGUG